Non-coding RNA from Vicia faba (fava bean), 210 nucleotides. NCBI's taxonomy places the organism in Eukaryota, Viridiplantae, Streptophyta, Magnoliopsida, Fabales, Fabaceae. The record is from the annotation of a GenBank genome assembly.
AUGGCCGGAUGGAAAAAACCCGCUUGGCCUGGGGAUGAGGAUCGUUGUGGGAAGGCGGUCUGUGGGGGAGCUGGUUUGUCGGAGGAGGCGGUGGAUUUUUUGGUGUUAAAGAUUACUGCGAUUUGGUGGUCAAGUGACCCAUGUGGCGGCCUAGUUCUGACUGCGAUGAGGUUUCAACGGAGGCUGAAGCGGAUAUGUGUUGGUGUAUAG